GUGGAGUUGGACCUCCCAUACGGACUAAUUUCUUGCCUUUUACCAGAGAUUACCGUGGGCUGGCCAAGUUUACUCCAAUACCACAAUCUUUGGAAACCCUUGUU
This 104-nucleotide small nuclear RNA is filed under the name Hirsutella minnesotensis 3608. RNAcentral describes it as "U5 spliceosomal RNA". It matches the Rfam family "U5 spliceosomal RNA". Rfam says of the family: U5 RNA is a component of both types of known spliceosome. The precise function of this molecule is unknown, though it is known that the 5' loop is required for splice site selection and p220 binding, and that both the 3' stem-loop and the Sm site are important for Sm protein binding and cap methylation. Lineage: Eukaryota; Fungi; Ascomycota; Sordariomycetes; Hypocreales; Ophiocordycipitaceae. The record is from Rfam by way of RNAcentral.